UGGAGUUCGGAUAGAUCAGACUCUUCGUUGGCCUCGUUUUUAGGUGUUUGAUCCGUGACGUUUCGUCGAAAAAUCACAAGCGCGCAUGCCGUAGGUGUUUGCCUGGUUGCAAGAUCUUGCCGAUUUCAACGUUUUUCCACCUCUUCGGUUGGCGUACGCUGAACUGGACCCUCGCAGCAAGAAUGGCACGUGGGACUGCCUCUGCGAACCCCGCUCCUGGACAACAGCUGGGAGGCUCUGUGUUUAAACGCGUGCACCUUGGACGUCAUGCUCCUGCCUCUGCAAGCCCUUUUGCUGGACGCCAUUGAAGGCCCUCCACUCGAAAGUGUGCACCUUAGACUACACGCUCAUCAAUACCAAGUUCUCUGUCCUUCUCGGCAUGAUUGUAGUGCCAUAUAAUAGUGAGGCAAUAAAUCAUUUUUGCUGGUCA
Rhipicephalus sanguineus (brown dog tick) is the source of this 430-nucleotide long non-coding RNA. RefSeq lists it as uncharacterized. The transcript is spliced from 4 exons. The record is from RefSeq and is a predicted model, not a curated record. Lineage: Eukaryota; Metazoa; Arthropoda; Arachnida; Ixodida; Ixodidae.